CAGCAGCCACGGUAAUACGAAGGGUGCAAGCGUUACUCGGAAUUACUGGGCGUAAAGCGUGUGUAGGUGGUUGUUUAAGUCUGUCGUGAAAGCCCUGGGCUCAACCUGGGAAUUGCGAUGGAUACUGGGCGACUAGAGUGCGGUAGAGGAUAGUGGAAUUUCCGGUGUAGCAGUGAAAUGCGUAGAGAUCGGAAGGAACAUCUGUGGCGAAGGCGACUAUCUGGGCCAACACUGACACUGAGACACGAAAGCGUGGGGAGCAAACAGGAUUAGAUACCCCUGUAGUCCCUGUCUCUUAUAA
Molecule: ribosomal RNA, 301 nt
Filed under: uncultured bacterium
Lineage: Bacteria
Description: partial 16S ribosomal RNA
Rfam family: Bacterial small subunit ribosomal RNA
Source: RNAcentral